AUUACUUCGGUAAUUGACCUAGCGGCGGACGGGUGAGUAAUACUUAGGAAUCUGCCUAUUAAUGGGGGACAACAUCUCGAAAGGGAUGCUAAUACCGCAUACGCCCUACGGGGGAAAGCAGGGGAUCACUUGUGACCUUGCGUUAAUAGAUGAGCCUAAGUCGGAUUAGCUAGUUGGUGGGGUAAAGGCCUACCAAGGCGACGAUCUGUAGCGGGUCUGAGAGGAUGAUCCGCCACACUGGGACUGAGACACGGCCCAGACUCCUACGGGAGGCAGCAGUGGGGAAUAUUGGACAAUGGGGGGAACCCUGAUCCAGCCAUGCCGCGUGUGUGAAGAAGGCCUUAUGGUUGUAAAGCACUUUAAGCGAGGAGGAGGCUCUUUUGGUUAAUACCCAAGAUGAGUGGACGUUACUCGCAGAAUAAGCACCGGCUAACUCUGUGCCAGCAGCCGCGGUAAUACAGAGGGUGCGAGCGUUAAUCGGAUUUACUGGGCGUAAAGCGUGCGUAGGCGGCUUUUUAAGUCGGAUGUGAAAUCCCCGAGCUUAACUUGGGAAUUGCAUUCGAUACUGGGAAGCUAGAGUAUGGGAGAGGAUGGUAGAAUUCCAGGUGUAGCGGUGAAAUGCGUAGAGAUCUGGAGGAAUACCGAUGGCGAAGG
RNAcentral lists this ribosomal RNA (654 nucleotides) under uncultured Acinetobacter sp. Its description in RNAcentral is "bacterial SSU rRNA". It matches the Rfam family "Bacterial small subunit ribosomal RNA", at positions 74 to 721 of the family's 1533-position model. Lineage: Bacteria; Pseudomonadati; Pseudomonadota; Gammaproteobacteria; Moraxellales; Moraxellaceae. The record is from RNAcentral.